Eriocheir sinensis (Chinese mitten crab) is the source of this 1015-nucleotide long non-coding RNA. RefSeq lists it as uncharacterized. The transcript has 3 exons. The record is from RefSeq and is a predicted model, not a curated record. Lineage: Eukaryota; Metazoa; Arthropoda; Malacostraca; Decapoda; Varunidae.
UUCCGUCUUGUUCCAGGUACGCCGGGAAGCAGGUGAAGCAGGACGAGGCUAAGCAGAUAAUGAGCAGAUGAUGACGAUGAUGAUGAUGCUCCUGGAUGCUGCGUCGUAACUAGCAGGGACAACAUCCAGAAGCAACGACGCACCCGAACAGUCAUUCGCAUCACCUUGGGUCCGUAUCCUUACACGUAGCCUAUCGGGCUUUCAGAGAAGAUUAACUGGGUGUUCUUGGGUGUUUUCUCCUGAUCAUAGAGCAGAAGGCGUGUAUAACUAUCACUAGAAUCACAAAGCACUCCAUGACAAUCCCAGCAAAGUCUACGAGCGGCGUUUCAAACAGGCGUUUUGAGGUACCGAUAAGGACCGUGGACUGCAGAGGAAGAGCAUCCAAUGGUGAGUGAGGAAGCGGAACACCCCAGCCACCAUCCUGAAGCUUUUGGAACCAAGACUCCUGAGCUGCUGAUCCACCCUUGAGGAGGAGGAUCAAGAAGAUACAUCUGGAGUUUCCCUGACCUUUAGGUUUCCACGUCCUGUUUGGCGGGUUGAGACCUCACCGGUCCAGAGCGAACUGUCUGAAAGAAGCAAGAACACCAAUGGACCGUACUGGCUAUACAGGCAGCGCCACGCGUGGUCACUCGGUGAACUGUCAAAGCAGUACUUUCCAUAGCACUCAAGUUAUGUUACUGGAGUGCAUCUGCGUCUGCCUCCAGGAUACAAGGCCUUGUGUCCGCCACCGCCCCGAGCCAACGACUGCACACACUUUACUUCUACCCAAUUUCCUGACACUACAAUUUGACAUGGAAAAAAAAAUAAUCAUCGACUUCGAGCGAAGGCGGCAUCACGACCGUGUCUCUCGGAGGAAAGUACAGCUUGCCAAUACGGUCCAUUAAGAACACAUUAGCCUUCUUGAUAACGCAUGUAAUUUAGUGAUAAGCGGUAUUUGAACCCGGAACCGCGGAUUCUUUGCGAGCUAACUGUUUAUUACUGUGAAAGGUUGUUCAACAAAUAUAUUGGGGACACU